AAAUUGAAGAGUUUGAUCAUGGCUCAGAUUGAACGCUGGCGGCAGGCCUAACACAUGCAAGUCGAACGGUAACAGGAAGCAGCUUGCUGCUUUGCUGACGAGUGGCGGACGGGUGAGUAAUGUCUGGGAAACUGCCUGAUGGAGGGGGAUAACUACUGGAAACGGUGGCUAAUACCGCAUAACGUCGCAAGACCAAAGAGGGGGACCUUCGGGCCUCUUGCCAUCAGAUGUGCCCAGAUGGGAUUAGCUUGUUGGUGAGGUAACGGCUCACCAAGGCGACGAUCCCUAGCUGGUCUGAGAGGAUGACCAGCCACACUGGAACUGAGACACGGUCCAGACUCCUACGGGAGGCAGCAGUGGGGAAUAUUGCACAAUGGGCGCAAGCCUGAUGCAGCCAUGCCGCGUGUAUGAAGAAGGCCUUCGGGUUGUAAAGUACUUUCAGCGGGGAGGAAGGUGUUGUGGUUAAUAACCGCAGCAAUUGACGUUACCCGCAGAAGAAGCACCGGCUAACUCCGUGCCAGCAGCCGCGGUAAUACGGAGGGUGCAAGCGUUAAUCGGAAUUACUGGGCGUAAAGCGCACGCAGGCGGUCUGUCAAGUCGGAUGUGAAAUCCCCGGGCUCAACCUGGGAACUGCAUUCGAAACUGGCAGGCUUGAGUCUUGUAGAGGGGGGUAGAAUUCCAGGUGUAGCGGUGAAAUGCGUAGAGAUCUGGAGGAAUACCGGUGGCGAAGGCGGCCCCCUGGACAAAGACUGACGCUCAGGUGCGAAAGCGUGGGGAGCAAACAGGAUUAGAUACCCCGGUAGUCCACGCCGUAAACGAUGUCUACUUGGAGGUUGUGCCCUUGAGGCGUGGCUUCCGGAGCUAACGCGUUAAGUAGACCGCCCGGGAGUACGGCCGCAAGGUUAAAACUCAAAUGAAUUGACGGGGGCCCGCACAAGCGGUGGAGCAUGUGGUUUAAUUCGAUGCAACGCGAAGAACCUUACCCGGUCUUGACAUCCACAGAAGAAUCCAGAGAUGGAUUUGUGCCUUCGGGAACUGUGAGACAGGUGCUGCAUGGCUGUCGUCAGCUCGUGUUGUGAAAUGUUGGGUUAAGUCCCGCAACGAGCGCAACCCUUAUCCUUUGUUGCCAGCGGUUAGGCCGGGAACUCAAAGGAGACUGCCAGUGAUAAACUGGAGGAAGGUGGGGAUGACGUCAAGUCAUCAUGGCCCUUACGACCAGGGCUACACACGUGCUACAAUGGCGCAUACAAAGAGAAGCGACCUCGCGAGAGCAAGCGGACCUCAUAAAGUGCGUCGUAGUCCGGAUUGGAGUCUGCAACUCGACUCCAUGAAGUCGGAAUCGCUAGUAAUCGUGGAUCAGAAUGCCACGGUGAAUACGUUCCCGGGCCUUGUACACACCGCCCGUCACACCAUGGGAGUGGGUUGCAAAAGAAGUAGGUAGCUUAACCUUCGGGAGGGCGCUUACCACUUUGUGAUUCAUGACUGGGGUGAAGUCGUAACAAGGUAACCGUAGGGAACCUGCGGUUGGAUCACCUCCUUACCUUAAAGAA
This 1550-nucleotide ribosomal RNA is filed under the name Salmonella enterica. RNAcentral's name for it is "bacterial SSU rRNA". It matches the Rfam family "Bacterial small subunit ribosomal RNA". The record is from RNAcentral. Lineage: Bacteria; Pseudomonadati; Pseudomonadota; Gammaproteobacteria; Enterobacterales; Enterobacteriaceae.